Lutra lutra (Eurasian river otter) is the source of this 1243-nucleotide long non-coding RNA. RefSeq lists it as uncharacterized. NCBI's taxonomy places the organism in Eukaryota, Metazoa, Chordata, Mammalia, Carnivora, Mustelidae. The record is from RefSeq and is a predicted model, not a curated record. The transcript has 2 exons.
CAGGUGGUCUGCAGCCGCGGCUGGAAAACCACAGUCCUUGGCUCUGCGUGCGCAGCUCGCCACGGACCUUCGUCAGUGAGCAUGCGGGUGAGCAGAGGGAAAGGAAGGAAGCAGAAAGAGAGAGACACGGAAGCUCAUGGACCAGGACAUGUAUUGGAGGGAGAUGCUGUGGGGGGCCGGGUCAGAGAGCCACUCAAGGGAGGGCACAUCAAAGAGAAAAGGAACGUCAGAGGUGUGUGGAAAUUUCUCCAGAAGGGAGAGAGAACAAACACAUCCUAGUCGAGUUUGCCACCUGCCUGGGUCUUCCGGAAUGACUCGCUUCACGCUCAAGUGUAAUCCUUGAAAGGAAGAGAAUUUCAGCGAACUUGAGUCAACAAAUCAAAACACGACCUAAUAUUUAGGUCUGGUUUUUCCUGUGGGUAAACUGAGGACCCGAAAGAGCUGGGGACCUCAUUCGAGAUCACACGGGCAGAAAGGUGGCAGAGUGGGAACAGCAGCCAAAUCCGGCUUCAAAUCUAGCAGACUCUGCAGUUUCUAAGAAGCUGAGUGAAAAAGAAGAAGCUGGAACGCUGAGGACUCGUCAAGCAUCGUCCUGCAGAGGCCGGGACUAGGGAACGGUUUGAUCCACAAACGGCGGGAGCCUGAAGUCGGCUCCCCUGAUUACCUUUGGUCAUUUUUCGAUUUGUUGACUGUUAGAAAAAAAUCCAGGCUGGGGACGUAGGCUUGCUGCAAAGGAUAAAUUACAAGCAGAAACUCUCACGCCGAUACGCUUGCGUCUGUUAAGCCCAUCUUCUUGCGCAGCGACAGGCCCUGCGGACAACUGACUCGCGUUUGGGCUGAGCACAGGCUCCCCCAGAAACCACUUUCCCCAGACAGUCCCGCAGAACUAAAUAGCAUCAGCUCAUCUGGGCUCAACCUUUGAAGAAAACCAGAUAAUACUGGGCUCAACCCAGUUUAGGCAGUGACUCUUUCUUCUAAAAACAAAGAAGGAGACAGACAGAAUUCCUGCCUGAAUCCGUUCACCCUGCCCCUGUGGCCAAGCCCCAGGAAUUCUGCCCUGGCAGGGAAGAUUCAGACAGACCUCAGCACUUUUCUGAGAAACGGGGAUUUGGGCCAGAAUCUCCUCCCAUGAUUCUGGUUCCCAGAGCGGCCACAAGGCACGUCAGCGGGAGCCGGCCCUCCAGAGCUUUCCAAGUCCCCGGAGCGAAGCUCAGGAAUCUUGAGACUUUUUUCUAUUUUUACU